AGACGUCAGGACAUGGACUGCCCUGGAACCGCAGUCCUGCCAGCAAGGUCGCUGUGGCUACUGGCUCUGGGCCCCGCAGUUUCCUCUUCACACGGGCGUCUCGCUCCCUGGGGAAUAGUGAUGAUGAUGAUGAUGAUGAUGAUGAUGAUGAUGAUGAUGAUGAUGAUAAUGGUGAUGGUGAUGAUGGUAAUAAGAGCACUUACCAGGUGCCAGGCAUUUGACCCAGGGACCCUAUCAGAAUCCAUGGAAACUCCUUCCCGAGCAACAAGGCCAGGGCGUGGUCAGACCCCAGCUCACCUUGUUCACGCUGCCCAUCUCCACUAGCUGCCUUUCAGCCACACUCCGGAAUCCCCGUCUUCCCCUCUUCACCUGCUUUACUCCUCAUUCUUGUCUCAGUUCAAGCAUAACUUCCUCAAAGGAGUCCUCCCGACUUGCCACAGCACCACACGCCCUCCCUGAUAAACUCUGUCAAGAGUGAUACUGUUACAUUUGUUACGGUGAUCCUUGAAUUAAUAUCUACCUCUUCUGCCUGACUCUAAGUGUCUUGAGGGCAAGGGCCAGCUCUGAAGGGGUUAGUUAGAAGCCAGUGUCCUAACGAAUGAAACCUUUACAGCCCACCAUAACCUGGCUACCCAUCACCUCUCUCACUCCACACCCGCCAUACCGCAGGCAUGCUCCCACCUCAGGGCCCUGGCAUGUUCCCAGAUAUCCACCUGGCUCCCUCCCAUCUUCCUCCGAGUCUUUUCUCAAGUGUCGUCUUAGUGAGGCAUUUCCAGGCCUCUUAUCUAAUAAAUACCUCUCUGCAGUCCUUCUGAUCCUCCUUGCUUGCUUUCUUUUCUCUUUAGAACUUAUCCCUAACAUAUUAUAUAAUAUUUAUUUCUCUUGCCUACUUGUCUACUCCACCCACUAGAGUAUCAUCAGUUCCAUGAGGGCAGGGGCUUUGGUUUGUUCACUGUUGCAUCCUCACUGCCUAGGACUGUGCCUGGCACAUAAGCUGGUGCUAAAUAAGUAUUUGUCAAAUCAGUGAGUGAAUAUGUGUUUUUACUUACAUUGUAUUCCUGGCAUCCAGCACAGUGCCUU
Molecule: non-coding RNA, 1080 nt
Organism: Kogia breviceps (pygmy sperm whale)
Lineage: Eukaryota; Metazoa; Chordata; Mammalia; Artiodactyla; Physeteridae
Source: RefSeq, a predicted model, not a curated record